GCCAGGCAUGGUGGUGUACACCUGUAGUCCCAGCUAUUCAGGAGGCUAGGUCAUGAGAAUUGCUUGAACCCAGUGGGCAGAGGUUGCAGUGAGCCUGGAUCACCACUGCACUCCAGCCUGGGNNNNNNNNNNCCCAGGCUGGAGUGCAGUGGUGAUCCAGGCUCACUGCAACCUCUGCCCACUGGGUUCAAGCAAUUCUCAUGACCUAG
Non-coding RNA from Gorilla gorilla gorilla (western lowland gorilla), 209 nucleotides. It matches the Rfam family "Metazoan signal recognition particle RNA". From Rfam's summary of the family: The signal recognition particle (SRP) is a universally conserved ribonucleoprotein. It is involved in the co-translational targeting of proteins to membranes. The record is from Rfam. NCBI's taxonomy places the organism in Eukaryota, Metazoa, Chordata, Mammalia, Primates, Hominidae.